This is a long non-coding RNA of Drosophila montana, 661 nucleotides long. RefSeq lists it as uncharacterized. The transcript is spliced from 2 exons. The record is from RefSeq and is a predicted model, not a curated record. NCBI's taxonomy places the organism in Eukaryota, Metazoa, Arthropoda, Insecta, Diptera, Drosophilidae.
UCAGUCGAGCUGUGCGUAUUAUGUCAACAUCAACAGCAUUGUAACGUGCCACAAUAUAACUGUAGAGGCUCUCAAGCGCAUAAAGGCGAAGAAAAAAUGAAAAGAAAAAGAUGUGGAGCAAAAGCAGCUGAAAAUGAAACCGAAUCCCAAUCAAAGUGCCAAGUGGCUGUAAAUUGUGUGCAACGGUUUUUUUUGAAGGGGAGAGAAAGAGAGAGAUCUUGACUCUUGGUUUGGGCUCUUGUGCGCCGCUGCGUUUGGUUUAGGGCUUAUUGAAAACCUUCACGCUUCAAAGUGAAGGACUUUAGCGGCUGCGUGCGGUGUUGCGUGGCGGUAGCGGCAAUGACAACAGCGGCACGACUCCGACCCCGGCUCUUGCAAUUUGGUGGCAACAAGAUGAAAGUCAACACUUAACACUCUCAACAGCAGCGGAGGCAGCGGAGGCAUCAGAGGCAGCUCAAGCUUGAGCCCGACUUCAAUGACUAUGCGAUAAAUCAUUUUUUUUUUUUUUUCUUGUCUCUGUCUUAAAUUAUUUUUAUCAGCCUGUAGUAUUGUUGUAGCUACAGCUGCUGCCACUGUCACUUUAGGUUUUAAUUUGGUUUAUUGUGGUGCUGUCUUGAGAUGCCUUGUGAAGGUCUCUCUCUCAAUUUAUUUCGUAAUUGUC